RNAcentral lists this non-coding RNA (18 nucleotides) under Arabidopsis thaliana (thale cress). The record is from RNAcentral. Lineage: Eukaryota; Viridiplantae; Streptophyta; Magnoliopsida; Brassicales; Brassicaceae.
GACGUGUCGGCUGCUUUG